UGCGCAGGCGGCUUGGAAAGAAAGAUGUGAAAUCCCAGAGCUCAACUUGGGAACUGCGUUUGAAACUGCAAGACUAGAAUAUGUCAGAGGGGGGUAGAAUUCCACGUGUAGCAGUGAAAUGCGUAGAGAUGUGGAGGAAUACCAAUGGCGAAGGCAGCCCCCUGGGAUAAUAUUGACGCUCAUGCACGAAAGCGUGGGGAGCAAACAGGAUUAGAUACCCGCGUA
Molecule: ribosomal RNA, 225 nt
Filed under: uncultured Methylophilus sp.
Lineage: Bacteria; Pseudomonadati; Pseudomonadota; Betaproteobacteria; Nitrosomonadales; Methylophilaceae
Description: partial 16S ribosomal RNA
Rfam family: Bacterial small subunit ribosomal RNA
Source: RNAcentral